Molecule: ribosomal RNA, 624 nt
Filed under: uncultured bacterium
Lineage: Bacteria
Description: bacterial SSU rRNA
Rfam family: Bacterial small subunit ribosomal RNA
Source: RNAcentral
GACGAUCAGUAGCCGGACUGAGAGGUUGAACGGCCACAUUGGGACUGAGAUACGGCCCAGACUCCUACGGGAGGCAGCAGUCGGGAAUAUUGCGCAAUGGAGGAAACUCUGACGCAGUGACGCCGCGUAUAGGAUGAAGGUUCUCGGAUUGUAAACUAUUGUCAUUAGGGAAGAUUAAAGACUGUACCUAAAGAGGAAGCCCCGGCUAACUAUGUGCCAGCAGCCGCGGUAAUACAUAGGGGGCAAGCGUUAUCCGGAUUUAUUGGGUGUAAAGGGUGCGUAGACGGAGGAGCAAGUUGGUUGUGAAAUCCCUCGGCUUAACUGAGGAACUGCAACUGAAACUACUUCCCUUGAGUGUCGGAGGGGAAAGUGGAAUUCCUAGUGUAGCGGUGAAAUGCGUAGAUAUUAGGAGGAACACCGGUGGCGAAGGCGACUUUCUGGACGAUAACUGACGUUGAUGCACGAAAGUGUGGGGAGCAAACAGGAUUAGAUACCCUGGUAGUCCACACCGUAAACGAUGGAUACUAGGUGUAGGGUGUAUUAAGCACUCUGUGCCGCCGCUAACGCAUUAAGUAUCCCACCUGGGGAGUACGACCGCAAGGUUGAAACUCAAAGGAAUUGACG